This 527-nucleotide long non-coding RNA is filed under the name Linum usitatissimum (flax). Its description in RNAcentral is "long non-coding RNA (LUSI_LNC006456)". The record is from RNAcentral. Lineage: Eukaryota; Viridiplantae; Streptophyta; Magnoliopsida; Malpighiales; Linaceae.
GAGGCUUGAGCAUGGGAAUACUACAAGAAACUGCAUGUUUAACAACAGUUUCUUAUCUUUUUUAACAGUGGAUAGUCUGCUGUUAGAAAUCCUAAUGGCAGAUAGAAAUCCGCCGUUAGGUUAAGUAAUGGUAAAUAAGCUAACGACGGAUUUUUAUCUGCUGUUAAACUAACAACGUAUUUUAUUCCCUGUUAAAGCUAACAACGGAUAAAAUCAGUCGUUAAACUUUUCGUCCAAUAAUAAAAAAACGUAGAAACCCAGCUAGGUUUCUGUGUUCAUCAUUCAUCGUUCUUCGUUCAUCGUUCACCAUUCUUCAUUUUUCCAGUCAUUUUCUUCUUCUUCGAUUCUUCUUUUUCUUCUACUUUGAUUCUUCUCCUUCUUCUUCAAUUUUUCUUUUUCUUCAUCUUCGAUUCUUUUUCUUCUUCUUUUUCUUCUUCUUCUUCUUCUUUGAUUCUUUUUUGAAUCUUUUUUUUCCGAUUCUUCUUCGAUUCCUCUUCUUCUUAUUUGAUUCUUCAAUUCUUCUUCUU